AACCUCCGCAAUGUGAGAAAUCGCGACGGGGGGAUCCCAAGUGCCAUUCUUAACGGGAUGGCUUUUCAUUAGUGUAAAGAGCUUUUGGAAUAAGAGCUGGGCAAGACCGGUGCCAGCCGCCGCGGUAACACCGGCAGCUCUAGUGGUAACAAUUUUUAUUGGGCCUAAAGCGUCCGUAGCCGGUUUAAUAAGUCUCUGGUGAAAUCCUGCAGCUUAACUGUGGGAAUUGCUGGAGAUACUAUUAGACUUGAGACCGGGAGAGGUUAGAGGUACUCCCAGGGUAGAGGUGAAAUUCUGUAAUCCUGGGAGGACCGCCUGUUGCGAAGGCGUCUAACUGGAACGGUUCUGACGGUGAGGGACGAAAGUUAGGGGCGCGAACCGGAUUAGAUACCCGGGUAGUCCUAACUGUAAACGAUGCGGACUUGGUGUUGGGGUGGCUUUGAGCUGCUCAGUGCGAAGGGAAGCUGUUAAGUCCGCCGCCUGGGAAGUACGGUCGCAAGACUGAAACUUAAAGGAAGU
RNAcentral lists this ribosomal RNA (519 nucleotides) under uncultured bacterium. RNAcentral describes it as "bacterial SSU rRNA". It matches the Rfam family "Archaeal small subunit ribosomal RNA", at positions 345 to 866 of the family's 1478-position model. The record is from RNAcentral.